RNAcentral lists this ribosomal RNA (1267 nucleotides) under metagenome. RNAcentral's name for it is "SSU rRNA". It matches the Rfam family "Eukaryotic small subunit ribosomal RNA", at positions 250 to 1365 of the family's 1831-position model. The record is from RNAcentral.
GUCAUGAUAAUUGUUCGGAUCGAAUGGGCCAGUGUGUUGUGCGGGUCGCGCUUCACCUUGAGCCAUCGAUGUUUCAUUCAAAUUUCUGAUCUAUCAAUUUAGGAAGGUUGGGUAGUGGCCAACCUUGAUUUUGACGGGCAACGGGGAAUCAGGGUUCGAUACCGGAGAGGGGGCCAGAGAGAUGGCCACCACAUCUACGGAUGGCAGCAGGCGCGCAACUUACCCAAAUCUCGACUCGAGGAGGUAGCGACAAGAAAUAUCGGCGCGGGGCACUAUAUGUGUCUUGUAAAGCUGAAAUGAGGACAGUUUAAAACUCUUACCGAUAAGCAAUUAGAGGGCAAGUCUGGUGCCAGCAGCCGCGGUAAUACCAGCUCUAAUAGUGUAUGUUAAAGUUGUUGCAGUUAAAACGCUCGUAGUUGGAUGUUCGGGCGGAAUCGGUGGGUCAGGGGCACUUUGUGUUCAGGGCCGCCGAGGAAGCUUGAGGGCGAUGCUGGACUAGGGGUCGCCGUCUAUUGUGUUGCGUACUCGCCGCUUUGGCCUCGUGGAGGACGAAGAGGAGCGAUGCGUAAUACGAGGGCGGUUGCGCUCCGAUGUCUGGUGACGUUCGAUUCUUUCCUCUGUGGUAUUCAGUUAUUGCGGGGGACGUUUACUUUGAGCAAAGAUUGGUGUACAAGGCAGGCCAUAGGCUUGAGAUAUCUAGCAUGGGAUAAUGGAAUAAGACUUUGGUACUUUUUCGUUGGUUAUAGAGCCGAAGUAAUGGUUAAUAGGGGCAGGUCGGGGGCGUUGAUAUUCAGUAGGGAGAGGUGAAAUUCAGUGAUCUACUGAGGAUCAACAGAAGCGAAAGCGUUCGCCAAGGAUGUUUUCAUUAAUCAAGAACGAAAGUUAGGGGAUCGAAGACGAUUAGGCACCGUCGUAGUCCUAACCAUAAACGAUCUCGACUAGGGAUUGGGGGAGUCAGCACGUAUGUGCGGAACUUCCUCAGGACCUACUGAGAAAUCAUUAAGUGUUUGGAGUCUGGGGGGAAGUAUAGUCGCAAGGCAGAAACUUAAAGGAAUUGACGGAAGAGCACCACAAGAAGUGGAUUCUGUGGCUCAAUUUGACCCAACGCGGGGAAACUUACCAGGACCGGACCAAGGGAGGAUUGACAGAUUAAUGGCUCUUUCAUGAUUCUUGGAUUGGUGGUGCAUGGCCGUUCUUAGUUGGUGAAGUGAUUUGUCUGUGUUAAUUCCGUUAACGAGCGAGAACCCAACCUCUUACUAGCGACUUG